ACUGAAAGAUCCUCGAGUUUAUUUCAAGCAGGAAAGGCGCCUGGCAAUUUCCCUGGCCUUCUUCGAAUGCCUCUUGUUCUCAUGGGCGCCUCCCUUUUUUGGUCUCUCCAUUGCAGAUCUCUUUCUCGAGGCUUCCCUGCCUUGCUUUUUGUUCUAGAAUUCUACUCACCGAUGGCCGCCUCAAGAGUUUGAAAGGAUUUGAGUCUUUAGAAAUUCUUAUUUGACCGUCGCUAGAUCGAGGGACUUCUUUCUGAGAGAUCUACUUGAAGAUCUUUCAAAUAACCGCUUCGUUUUUGUGGGAUCUGAUGCCGUAUCAAUUAUAGGGCAUGGCGUUGAAACUGCCUUUGAACCGGGACUCCGGAGCCGAUACACAGGUUCGCAGUCUCAGAGUUAAUGAUUUCACGGGAAGGCUUACUGGUCGACGCGUAGGUGCUGCAUCUAUUAAUGAUCUCAGAGUUCAUGAUUGCUGGAGAUGUUGUUGUUAAGAUCAAUUGUGGCAGGUCGUUCCAUGUAUCUUGUUGAUGUAAAUGGAUGCAUAGGACGGAAAGGCCCGAGUCUGAGUGUGGCUUAUGAGUCCUGAUCCAUCUUUGUCAUCCGACCUUUGCCAUGACAGGUGCGCUUGCAUGGCAGGUCACAAAAAAGCAUAAUAAAAAAAGUUAUACGUUUUUUGGUUUGAGGGGGAGAUCGCACGGGAGUUUGCCCGGGAUCUCCCCACCGGUGUGUGCCGUUUCCCUGUGCUGCUUUUUCUGUGUUCAUUUAUAUUUUUGCUCGCGACGCCCAUGGUUGCCUACCAGAAGAAAAGGGUAAGCUGAGCUACACCAGCAACGUUACAACUCAUACACUAGCAAUUCACAUGGAUUUUGAGGUAUACUCUUUAUUUCAUAUUUUCCCUUUGUUUGCAUUUGAGACGUAUGGGCCACUCAAUAUAUUAAAUUCAUUCAACAACAGAUUUUAAAAGUACAGACAAACUAUAGGUCCAUUCCGUUAAUCAUAUAACUAUUCUUGUUGCUCAAUAAAAUUAAAUUUGAAAAAUAGAAAAGAUAAAUCUUAAUGAUUGUCUGUUGGAAAUCUUGUCGUUGGCGUUCGUCAAAUCAACUGUGUGCUUCAAUGGUAAAGUUUUGUGUUUUGUAUAUGCAAAAGAUCGCUACAAUUUUUGCCCAAAUAGGACGGAACAAAGUAGUUCAGUUGUAUGCUGUAGGUGUUGAUUCUUUGGUACCCGAUGCCUCAAGUAUAAUAAAAGGAAUCAUUAAAAGUAUAUGUUCAUUAUCAACGGACUUCAGGUAUUUCAGUGGCUGCGAUUACUUUCUAUGAAUAUAAUUAAGGGCUCAAUGGAAUAGUUCACUACUUGCAUAUCACAAGAUGCCAUAGUUUCUUGAUGGCAUCCCAACUCUGUUUCUAAUUAAGGGUUCAAUGGCUGCAAUUCCUGUAAGUUCUAGGAAAAUAUUCAGUUAUAAUGUUGCAAUGUUUCCCUCGUAAUUCUUGGUUUUGGUUUGGCCAAUGAUUAUCUAUUGCUUGUGCUCUUUGUAGCGAAUAUGAAAUUGGAGCUUGUAAGGCAAAUUUUAUGCCAGUAUGUAUUGGAAUCAAAUGGUUUGUAUAUCAGUAUAUCUUCGAGGCAAAUUGUAUGCCAGUAUGUCUUGGAAUGAAAUGGUUGCUUGAUUUCAUCUAUUGUAUUAGCAGUUUUUGAUCUUUCAACAAUUGUAUUUGUAUGGAGUCGUUUGGUCAUUUGAAGUGCUUGUGGCGAGCCUAUGUUCUCCUGUCUUAUUGAUAUUUCGACCCCUAGCUGAUGGUGUGGAAAGGUUUCAUGCAGCAUUGAAGUUAUUGGUAUCAAACAGGACUCGUGAAAGUUACAGUUGGCAGUUUAGUUUUAUUUUUUGGUCUGCUGUUAUAAAUGAUAGUUUGAAUGAAUAUUCUUUCACCAAGCAAGCAUUGUACAAGUCCGAGACUGGAAAACUUGCUUAGGAAAAAUGACUGAACUCAUGUCAAUCUACCAACGACUGCCAGGCAUUUGAUUCAUUGGUUAAAGGAAAUGGUAUGGUCCUGUUGUUUUUUUUUAUAUUUUUGAAUGAAAUGGUAACUGUCUUACGAUUAUCGUACAAGUUAUUUUAUAAAAAAUACUCGAUUGGAGGGUUCGAAAGAGUGACCGAAGAGCUUUCAACUUUGGGAAUCGGUCAGAGUUACAAGCUGGGCGUCGAUGGGAGGGGAUUAACAAGAACUCAGUUUUCGGUACGUGAGAUGGAUGCUGUACACUGGAUGGAUCACGAAGUAAACACCGAAAACAGAGAUGCAUGACGGCUGGAAUCUGACUUCAAGGGGCUUGCGACCAGGGAAUCCUCUAUCACAUUUCCUCUUUGUUUUAGUAAUCGAGCCAUUGAGUCGCAUGAAGGAGGCUGUCGUAAGGGGGGGAUUUCUUGCUGGUUUUCGGUGGGCAACAAUAGUAAUAGUGUCGGUUCCAUUUCUCACUUACUAUUCGCGGAUGAUACGCUCAUCUUUUGUGAUGUUGUUAGUGACCAAAUUCAAGCUCUAAAUGAACUUUAGUAUUAGUUUUUGAUAUGUAGUAGUGUCCUUUUAUUCUAAAUGGACAUAAAUGUUUGGUUGUGUUUUUAUUUCACAGAUGUAUUUAUGCAGAAGUUGGCGUUCUUUUAGGCG
Molecule: long non-coding RNA, 2646 nt
Organism: Juglans regia (Persian walnut)
Lineage: Eukaryota; Viridiplantae; Streptophyta; Magnoliopsida; Fagales; Juglandaceae
Exons: 4
Source: RefSeq, a predicted model, not a curated record